UGGGGAAUAUUGGGCAAUGGGCGCAAGCCUGACCCAGCAACGCCGCGUGAAGGAAGAAGGCUUUCGGGUUGUAAACUUCUUUUAAGGGGGAAGAGCAGAAGACGGUACCCCUUGAAUAAGCCACGGCUAACUACGUGCCAGCAGCCGCGGUAAUACGUAGGUGGCAAGCGUUGUCCGGAUUUACUGGGUGUAAAGGGCGUGCAGCCGGAGAGACAAGUCAGAUGUGAAAUCCACGGGCUCAACCCGUGAACUGCAUUUGAAACUGUUUCCCUUGAGUGUCGGAGAGGUAAUCGGAAUUCCUUGUGUAGCGGUGAAAUGCGUAGAUAUAAGGAAGAACACCAGUGGCGAAGGCGGAUUACUGGACGAUAACUGACGGUGAGGCGCGAAAGCGUGGGGAGCAAACAGG
Molecule: ribosomal RNA, 406 nt
Filed under: uncultured bacterium
Lineage: Bacteria
Description: bacterial SSU rRNA
Rfam family: Bacterial small subunit ribosomal RNA
Source: RNAcentral